Molecule: long non-coding RNA, 642 nt
Organism: Thamnophis elegans (Western terrestrial garter snake)
Lineage: Eukaryota; Metazoa; Chordata; Lepidosauria; Squamata; Natricidae
Exons: 3
Source: RefSeq, a predicted model, not a curated record
AAGACAGCAGAUUGGGAAGGAUGGCAUCAUCACUGAUCAAACAAGUGGAUGAAAAGGAACACUUGGUUUUAUUUUCAGGAUAAGCAGGGUAGUAUUCCACAAGUGGCUGGAUUAUACCUUCCUUCAUUCUUGACCACUGUCUACUGUAGUGUUUCUCAAUCUUGGCAACUUUAAGAUGUGUGGAUUUCAACACCAAAAUUCCCCAGCCAGCCAUGCUUACUCCAGAUACCAAAGGUAGUAGAGAUCACCGCUGCUUUCAAAACUAAAGGAGCUAAUCUCUGAGCAGAUGCCAUGUGGAGGAGAAAAAAGCAUCUGGAAACUGAAAGUCUGCCAGCUAUGGAGAUUACCACAGCUGGACUACCAAUAAACUUAUCUGUGGUUGUUCCAAAUUCUUCAGGGCAGGACAAUAUGUUGCUGACAAAGGUUUAAUUGACCUGCAGAAAUUUGUUCCUUUCCUUGGUCUGUUCAAAACAAGCCAGCAAUUAUCUUUGGAAUGCCAUCUCAGCAAGGCCUGAGUGAGAAGGUUUUUCUACUGCAAAGAUCCAGCUCUAGAAUUUACAAAAAUAAUAAAGAUUAACUGUCUCUGAUUCAACAUUACCUGAUUUUAGACUGUGUUUGUUAAAAAUCCAUACCGUGUACGGG